CUGUAGACAGGAGCUGUUCCUAUUCGGCCAUCUUGGCUCCUCUCGAUAAUUGCUUUCAUGUGAACCCUUCAUAAGGUAAAAUCAAAUCCCUAUUAGGAUAAAUGAUUGAGUGUUCCUGUAAAGAAUUGUUCCCCUGGUUCAAGCAACCAGAUUUCAUUCCCAGAUGAUCAAAAAUGGACUUGAUGAAAUGGAAAAGCACUGAUAGAAACAGCCGUCGAUAUAUAGCUAAGGAUGAUAACAAGCACAACAAGGACUUACAGCAUUUGCUUUGCACCAGACACCAUCUAAAACACUUCACAAAUAUUAACUCAAAGGAACCUAUCAUUUCCACUGCUCAAAAUUACUCCUGAAGGGAUGAGGACACCAGGAUAUGCCACCGGACCACUGAAGAGAUUGCUGUUUUCUGCCCCAGGCCUGUGCCAUGAGGGACACUUUCUCAGGACUCUUGCCAAUCUUUUCUGAGAGUACCUGGUGAGCUCUGUUGUGAAUUGCCUUUAUAGGUGCCCGCGAUGGCCGACAAUGAUGCAAAAUAGUACUUUGAGCAAAAUUUGCUCCUGAUUCUGUAGAAAUCUCAGAUGGACAAAUAAUCAACUUCUCAUAUAUUUAUCUGAACAUUUUACCCUGUCACCUAGAAUUUCUGUGAAUUCUAGAAUAUUUAAAUAAAAGUGGUUUCUUGUCAAUGAAAGAAGUUUGCAUUUAAAGCUCAAAAUAUUGCUGUCUAGAUGUGUCCUCUACUUCUCCCUGAUAAUAACAG
This 754-nucleotide long non-coding RNA is filed under the name Homo sapiens (human). Its description in RNAcentral is "HSALNT0109327". The record is from RNAcentral. Lineage: Eukaryota; Metazoa; Chordata; Mammalia; Primates; Hominidae.